Molecule: ribosomal RNA, 253 nt
Filed under: uncultured bacterium
Lineage: Bacteria
Description: partial 16S ribosomal RNA
Rfam family: Bacterial small subunit ribosomal RNA
Source: RNAcentral
UACGGAGGAUGCAAGCGUUAUCCGGAAUGAUUGGGCGUAAAGCGUCCGCAGGCGGCAAUGUAAGUCUGCUGUUAAAGAGUCUAGCUCAACUAGAUAAGAGCAGUGGAAACUACAUAGCUAGAGUACGUUCGGGGCAGAGGGAAUUCCUGGUGUAGCGGUGAAAUGCGUAGAGAUCAGGAAGAACACCGGUGGCGAAGGCGCUCUGCUAGGCCGUAACUGACACUGAGGGACGAAAGCUAGGGGAGCGAAUGGG